RNAcentral lists this unclassified non-coding RNA (192 nucleotides) under uncultured Perenniporia. Its description in RNAcentral is "sequence contains ITS2". Lineage: Eukaryota; Fungi; Basidiomycota; Agaricomycetes; Polyporales; Polyporaceae. The record is from RNAcentral.
AAUCUUCAAUCUAACAAGCUUUGCGGUUUGUUAGGCUUGGACUUGGAGGCUUUGUCGGCCUAACGGUCGGCUCCUCUUAAAUGCAUUAGCUUGGUUCCUUGUGGAUCGGCUCUCGGUGUGAUAAUUGUCUACGCCGCGACCGUGAAGCGUUUGGCGAGCUUCUAACCGUCUCGCAUGAGACAGCUUUAUGAC